RNAcentral lists this ribosomal RNA (218 nucleotides) under Enterobacter hormaechei. RNAcentral describes it as "partial 23S ribosomal RNA". It matches the Rfam family "Bacterial large subunit ribosomal RNA", at positions 1 to 220 of the family's 2925-position model. Lineage: Bacteria; Pseudomonadati; Pseudomonadota; Gammaproteobacteria; Enterobacterales; Enterobacteriaceae. The record is from RNAcentral. RNAcentral also lists the same sequence under 1 other name.
GGUUAAGCGACUAAGCGUACACGGUGGAUGCCCUGGCAGUCAGAGGCGAUGAAGGACGUGCUAAUCUGCGAAAAGCGACGGCGAGGUGAUAUGAACCUUUGACCCGUCGAUGUCCGAAUGGGGAAACCCAGUGUGAUUCGUCACACUAUCGUUAACUGAAUACAUAGGUUAACGAGGCGAACCGGGGGAACUGAAACAUCUAAGUACCCCGAGGAAAA